GCCAGCAUGGUGUAGCGGUUUGAGUGUUGGACUAAAACUCUGAAGAUCAGGGUUCAAUUCCCAGCGGGAGCU
This is a non-coding RNA of Phrynosoma platyrhinos (Desert horned lizard), 72 nucleotides long. NCBI's taxonomy places the organism in Eukaryota, Metazoa, Chordata, Lepidosauria, Squamata, Phrynosomatidae. The record is from the annotation of a GenBank genome assembly.